CAAAAAUGAUGCAUUCGAUUUAGCUCGAUGAUUCGAAUUAAAUAUUAGAUAUUUGCUUUUUGUUUAUAUUUAUAUAUACUAUCUAUGUGUAUGUGUGUGUGUGUGUGUGUGUGUGUGUGUGUGUGUGUGUGUGUGUGUGUUAGCUGGAUAUGCCACCGAUAUUUGCUUGCUGUUUCCCCCAACCCAGAACCCACCCCUCCAUCGCUUCCCUCCGUUGCACGUCGAGUUCGA
This 231-nucleotide small RNA is filed under the name Drosophila guanche. The record is from RNAcentral. Lineage: Eukaryota; Metazoa; Arthropoda; Insecta; Diptera; Drosophilidae.